Molecule: ribosomal RNA, 613 nt
Filed under: Halomicronema sp. M5C6
Lineage: Bacteria; Bacillati; Cyanobacteriota; Cyanophyceae; Nodosilineales; Nodosilineaceae
Description: bacterial SSU rRNA
Rfam family: Bacterial small subunit ribosomal RNA
Source: RNAcentral
GCGGACGGGUGAGUAACGCGUGAGAAUCUGCCCUUAGGAGGGGGACAACAGCUGGAAACGGCUGCUAAUACCCCAUAUGCCGAGAGGUGAAACUUAUAUGGCCUGAGGAUGAGCUCGCGACUGAUUAGCUAGUUGGUAGGGUAAGAGCCUACCAAGGCGACGAUCAGUAGCUGGUCUGAGAGGAUGAUCAGCCACACUGGGACUGAGACACGGCCCAGACUCCUACGGGAGGCAGCAGUGGGGAAUUUUCCGCAAUGGGCGAAAGCCUGACGGAGCAACGCCGCGUGCGGGAGGACGGCCUGUGGGUUGUAAACCGCUUUUCUCAGGGAAGAAACCUGACGGUACCUGAGGAAUCAGCAUCGGCUAACUCCGUGCCAGCAGCCGCGGUAAUACGGAGGAUGCAAGCGUUAUCCGGAAUUAUUGGGCGUAAAGCGUCCGUAGGCGGUUUAACAAGUCUGCUGUUAAAGCUCGGAGCUCAACUCCGAAACAGCAGUGGAAACUGUUGAACUAGAGUGCGGUAGGGGUUGAGGGAAUUCCCAGUGUAGCGGUGAAAUGCGUAGAUAUUGGGAAGAACACCAGUGGCGAAGGCGCUCAACUGGGCCGCAACUGACGC